RNAcentral lists this long non-coding RNA (3945 nucleotides) under Marmota monax (woodchuck). Lineage: Eukaryota; Metazoa; Chordata; Mammalia; Rodentia; Sciuridae. The record is from RNAcentral.
UUUUUUUUUGCUUUGUAUUAUUAAACCUUUAAAAGUUUCUUAAAAGCACAUUGACCCAUAUGAAAUGGCUCCUUUUGUAGUUGAAAAGUUAUCAAAUAGAUCUGGGGAUGGAGCUUAGUGGUAGAGUGCUUGCCUAGCAUGUGCAGGGCUGUAGGUUUGAUCCCCAGUAAAACACACACACACACACAGUCAUAGCUACAGAUUUACAUGGCUCAACUUAAUGCUUAUCCUUUCUUCAGCAUAGCAUAUAGCAAGGAGAGUAUGAGGUGGAUUUUAUUGAAUUUAUAGUUAUUAAUUCAGAUAUUUGUUGAGAAUGUAAUAAGUGCACAAUUGUAGGUGAUCCAGUGAAUAAACCAGAUAAAGUCCCCACUUUCUUACAACAUGUAUUCCAUCUGGGACAACUGGACAAAAUGAUACUUUUUUGAGUAAUAAUUUUAUUUGCCAGUGAGGAAUGAUUUGGGGAUAGUAAAUUUUGAAAUUUUGUGAAACAUCUUGAGCAAAGUUUUCAGACUUAGAGUGUUUUAAUGCUUUACUUUUGGGAGGUAAAAAAAAAAAUCUUAUAUAUUUGUUCAUUAGACAAACAAAAUAAAAAGGGCUCUUUAUUUUUAAUUAGGAAUAACAAUCUAGGACAUUUGAAUUUACACAUUUGUUGGAAACAACAAUAUUAGUCAAUUAUUUCAGAGGUGAUGUGUUAAGAUAGUGCUGACAUAGAAGUCAGAGCAUACUCUAAUAAUUCUGGCUCUGCUGAUCACAUCUUCCAGAAAGUGAGCAGGUCUUUGUAAAUUGUGGGUCAGUUUUCUCCACAAAGUGGGAUUAGUAAGUACUCUGCCUAUUUGACAUGGUUGUUUAGAAAAUCAUUUACACUAGCUUUAAUUUGUUCUUACAUGAUAUGGAGAUAAUAGUAUCUACAUCUGGUCAAUAUGAGGAUUUUUGUGAUGUAAUGCACUUAGUGUAAACCAGGCUUAGUGGCACACACCUAUAAUCCCAGUAGGGGAUUGCAAGUUUAAGAGCAGUCUUCUCACUUGUGACAAGUGAGAACUUGUCACAAAAUUAAAAAAAAAAAAAAAAAAGUGGGGGGUAGUGAUGUAGCUCGUAGAGUACCUCUGGGUCCAGGACCCAGUACUGCAAAAUUUAAAAAAAAAUUUUUUUUUUCAAAUACAUUAAUUUGAAAAGAAAGGCUAGGGAUGUAACUCUGUGAUAGAACACCCUGGAUUUAAUCCUAGCACCUGAUUAAAAAAAAAAAAGUGCAGUGCCUAGCAAUAGUAGUGGUCUUAAAUAAGCUAUCACUCACAUACCAUGUUCCUGUUACUAUGCUAAGCACUCAUGUGUAUUACCUGACUUAAACCUCACAACAACCCAAUGAGAUGGAUCCUAUUCUCAUUUUAAAAGUGAAUUGAGGCUAACAAUGAUUUAAGUCAUUUCCUCAAAGUUAUGAUUGCUAACAAAUAGCUGAACCUAGUUUAGAAUCAAAACUUGACUGGCUCCAGAAUCUGAGCUUUUAACCUCUAUAUUCUAAUGUCUAGGUUCACAGUUCAGGGUGGUACAUGUCUCAAAGAAGUCAUGCUGGAAAUUGGAUUAUAAAAUCUAGUAGACUGAUGGAAUGCAAUUUUAACUGAAUUGUAAAUUCACCCAUCAGGCUUCCCACCAACAUUUGUAGAAUUCCCAUGAGAGUACAAAAUUGAGGCUUACAUAUUAUUUGCCUUAACACUUUAAAGUUACAAACCAAGCUAUCUAACUCAACAUAAAUUGUUUUCUUUUUUUAAAAAAGCAUUUAUUUUUCAAUUGUAGGUGGACAUAAUACCUUUAUUUUAUUUUUAGCUGGUGCUGAGGAUCGAACCCAGUGCCUCACUCAAGCUAGACAAGUGCUCCACCCCUGAGCCACAACUCUAUCCCUUAUUUUCUUUUUCUUUUACAUUCUCUUUUUAAAAUGUAUUUCUUACAUACAUGACAAUAGUGGAAUGCAUUACAUUCAUAAUUAUCCAUUCACAGCACAGUUUUUUGUAACUCUAUAAAGUAUGUUCACGCCAAAUUAUGCCAUUAUACAUGAACUCUCUUAUUUAUUUUUUGCAUUACAAUUCAUAAUACACCUUUAUACCACAAUUUAUCAUAUCUCUGUAUAUAAGGUAUGUUGACACCAAUUCACAUCUUCAUACAUGUAUUUUGUAUAACGAUGACCAUCUCCUUCCACCAUCCUUGCUAUUCCCCUUCUCCCUCCUUUUCCCUCCCACCACUAUUCCCUAUCUAGAGGUAAUCUUCCUCCCAUGCUCUUCCUCCCUCCCCACUUUGAGUCACACCUCUUAUAUCAGAGAAAACAUUUGGCAUUUCUUUUUUUGAGAUUGGCUAACUUCACUUAGCAUAAUCUCUAAUGCCAUCCAAUUCCCUGCAAAUGCCAUGAUCUUAUUCUUUUUUAGUGCUGAGUAAUAUUCCAGUGUGUAUAAAUGCCACAUUUUUUUUUUUUUAUCCAUUCCUCCACUGAAGGACAUCUAGGUUGGCUCCACAGUUUAGCUAUUGUGAAUUGUGCUGCUAUAAACAUUGAUGUCCCAGCCCUUAUUUUCUUGACAAAUAUCUUCAUAGUAACCUGGAGUGCUAGGUUUGAAUUUUGAAUUCUCUGAUUUUAUGGGGUUCUAUAACUAAACAUUACAAUACAAAGAGUUAGCUUCUGAUCCACAGGCUGCCUCUUGUCUCCCCAUCCUUUGUUCUGCAUAAUGAGGAGCUGGUGUGUAUGUAUGUGUAUACUUUGGUACCAUGGAUUUUUACCCUGAGGAGAGAGUCACAAAUUACAGCUAAGUCUCUAUAAAGUAUGGGUACAGGACAGAGGUUCCUCUUAGUUACAUCAAAGAGUGGUACUUCCCUAGACAAAAGUUCUUUUUCAAAUUUCAUUUCUGUUCUAAUGGUUUAAGAUGAAAGAGAAUGGGGAAUAGAUUCAAGAAAAAUAGUAACAUUCAAAACUUAAAACAAAAUUUAAAAAGCUUGAUAACUAGAAAGGAAGGAAGCUUCCGUAGUCAAUGUAUAUGAAAAAUACAGAAAAGAAAUUAAUGGCAAAACUUUUAAAUGAAAUGCAAUUAAAAUUGGGAACAAGUCAAAAGAUGCCUACACUUGCCCUUAUCCUCAAUAUUAUUUAGUAGAGGUCUUAGUCAUUAUAAUAAAACAAGGGAGGUAGGGUGGGAUUCUGAACUCACUGAUAAAUCUUGAUAUCUCUAAAAGUGGGACAGUAUGUAUAUGCCUCCUGAUAUGAUGCAAGAAAGUAGCUUUGAUGCAUCAUUGCAAAAACAAAAACUGAAGCAAAAACUAUCCAAGUCUGUAGGUGCAAAUGACAAGGAAAGAAUUAAGCAUCACCAUGAAGAUACAAUCAGCAGAAUGACAAAAUGGGAAAUUCUAUAGGACAAAUGAUUCUGAUUCUUCAACAAAUGGUAUGGAGGGAAGAAAGCAAAAAGGAACUGUCUUAUAAAAUAAAUGCAAUGUGAUGACCUCAUUUGGAUCCUGAUUUAAAAAAAAAUUUUUUUAAGUUGUUGAUAGACCUUUAUUUUAUUUAUUUAUACGUGGUACUGAGAAUCGAACCCAGUGCCUCCUGACGCAUGCCAGGCAAGUGCACUACUGCUCAGCCCCAGCCCCAGCCCCUGGAUCCUGAUUUUUAACAAACGAACUGUUAAUAAGCAUUUUUGAGACAGAAAAUUGAACAUGGAAUAGGUAUUAGAUGAUAUUGUAGAAUUGUUGAUUUUGUUGGGUACUAUUCUUUUGAAAAAUAAGAAAAGGCUUUCUCUCUUUAGAGAUACACAAAAUAAAGUAUUCAUUGAUAAAAUAAAAUGUGUGAGAUUUGUUUUAAAAUUCUCUGCCAAAAAAAGAGAAAAAAAGGCAAAAUGAAAAAUGUAAGGAGGAUAGAUAAAAUAGGGAAUAGUGGAUUGUUCAAACUGGGUGACAGAAACGUGGGGAUUAAUUAUAUUGUCU